AGAAGAGUUUUUUGGUUUUUUUUUAAUUUGAAAACAGGUUUUAGUAUUCAGGGAUGUAUUUGUGAACUGGAUAAUUGAGAGAGACACUGGAAGUCUAAACAAGAUUGAAAAUACAAUACAGUAUUCUGGAAAACUGGAAUUUGCAAGCUAUACAUAUCGAGGAAAAAAAAUCAGCCUGA
This 179-nucleotide long non-coding RNA is filed under the name Phasianus colchicus (ring-necked pheasant). Its description in RNAcentral is "lncRNA (ENSPCLG00000002503.1)". The record is from RNAcentral. Lineage: Eukaryota; Metazoa; Chordata; Aves; Galliformes; Phasianidae.